GCGAACAUAGCUCAGUUGGUAGAGCGCAACCUUGCCAAGGUUGAGGUCGCCGGUUCGAGCCCGGUUGUUCGCU
Molecule: transfer RNA, 73 nt
Filed under: Actinomycetota bacterium
Lineage: Bacteria; Bacillati; Actinomycetota
Also listed under: 1 other name
Description: tRNA-Gly
Rfam family: tRNA
About the family: Transfer RNA (tRNA) molecules are approximately 80 nucleotides in length. Their secondary structure includes four short double-helical elements and three loops (D, anti-codon, and T loops).
Source: RNAcentral